GAUGAAGAACGUAGCGAAAUGCGAUAAGUAAUGUGAAUUGCAGAAUUCAGUGAAUCAUCGAAUCUUUGAACGCACAUUGCGCCCGCCAGUAUUCUGGCGGGCAUGCCUGUUCGAGCGUCAUUACAACCCUCAGGCCCCCGGGCCUGGCGUUGGGGAUCGGCGAGGCGCCCCCCGCGGGCACGCGCCGUCCCCCAAAUACAGUGGCGGUCCCGCCGCAGCUUCCAUUGCGUAGUAGCUAACACCUCGCAACUGGAGAGCGGCGCGGCCAUGCCGUAAAACACCCAACUUCUGAAUGUUGACCUCGAAUCAGGUAGGAAUACCCGCUGAACUUAAGCAUACCAAUACGCGGAGGA
Molecule: unclassified non-coding RNA, 353 nt
Filed under: soil metagenome
Description: partial contains 5.8S ribosomal RNA, internal transcribed spacer 2, and large subunit ribosomal RNA
Rfam family: 5.8S ribosomal RNA (bases 1-120)
Source: RNAcentral